RNAcentral lists this unclassified non-coding RNA (221 nucleotides) under plant metagenome. Its description in RNAcentral is "partial contains small subunit ribosomal RNA, internal transcribed spacer 1, and 5.8S ribosomal RNA". The record is from RNAcentral.
UCUCCGUAGGUGAACCUGCGGAGGGAUCAUUACAGAGUUCGUGCCCUCGCGGGUAGAUCUCCCACCCUGUGUUAUUGCUACCUUUGUUGCUUUGGCGGGCCGCCCUCGGCUACCAGCCCCGGCUGGUACGCGCCCGCCAGAGGACCCCAAACCCUGAACGUCAGUGUCGUCUGAGUACUAUACAAUAGUUAAAACUUUCAACAACGGAUCUCUUGGUUCUG